AAAAAUCAUUUUUUUUUUAUUUGUUAAAUCGAAUGUACAACUAUUGAAGAAUGUUGUCUCAAAAUUUCAGCUCAUUCGGAGAAAGAUGAAAGUCACCACCGGCCCAAGUGCUCACGAAUAUGUGAAAAGAUUUGACGAAUCCCAAAACUUUGAACGCGUUUUUCUCGAAACGCCUUUUCUGAAGUCGGUGUCCACGAUAACUCAAAAAAUGAUUCUACGAUCUUAUAUCCGGGACACCGCAAUGUGCGGAAUUCCGUUGAGUGCCUACUUCAAGUGGCUGCAACUUCGUUGAUUUUCGACAUUUUGUAAAACUGAUUUUUUGUAAAACAUAUUUGAAAUGUCACUGAAUAAUAUGAUAAUAAAACUAUUCAAAAAUA
This is a long non-coding RNA of Zeugodacus cucurbitae (melon fly), 377 nucleotides long. RefSeq lists it as uncharacterized. The record is from RefSeq and is a predicted model, not a curated record. The transcript is spliced from 2 exons. Lineage: Eukaryota; Metazoa; Arthropoda; Insecta; Diptera; Tephritidae.